This 253-nucleotide ribosomal RNA is filed under the name uncultured bacterium. Its description in RNAcentral is "partial 16S ribosomal RNA". It matches the Rfam family "Bacterial small subunit ribosomal RNA", at positions 524 to 776 of the family's 1533-position model. The record is from RNAcentral.
UACGUAGGGUGCAAGCAUUAAUCGGAUUUAUUGGGCGUAAAGGGCGCGUAGGCGGAGAUGUAAGUCAGAUGUGAAAUCCCGGGGCUCAACCCCGGAACAGCAUUUGAAACUGCGUUUCUAGAGGGUAGGCGGAGAAAACGGAAUUGCACAAGUAGCGGUGAAAUGCGUAGAUAUGUGGAAGAACACCAGUGGCGAAGGUGGUUUUCGAGCUUAUACCUGACGCUAAAGCGCGAAAGCAAGAGGAGCAAACAGG